Molecule: long non-coding RNA, 652 nt
Organism: Leptinotarsa decemlineata (Colorado potato beetle)
Lineage: Eukaryota; Metazoa; Arthropoda; Insecta; Coleoptera; Chrysomelidae
Source: RefSeq, a predicted model, not a curated record
UAUCUUCAAGCAUAGCCCACUGACUAAUAAGAAAAAACUUAUUUAAAGUUAAAGUAAAUGUUUUGUGUAUGAAAAAAAGCAUUAGUGCAAAUUAGGAGCAAAUGAAACAGUUCAGCUGUGGAUCCGAAUUUAGCUGUUACGCAUUGUAGUAAUUGGAAAAGUGUGGAUGUCAACGAAUUAAGUCUCACUAGCAACCUGAGUUUUAUUUCGCAUAAGAUUACAAAAAUUGUGAUCGUGUUUUUGUAGUCCUUCCAAUGGAAUGCUCCGGAUCCACGUCAAACGUAGUUUCUUUACCAAUACUGGCCUUUUGGGUACGCAACCAACAAUACCACACGAACUGAAUGCAAGUUGCCUAUUGCUUGAUAGUGGUAACGCAAAAUGAAAUACUUAUUGAAUGCCAAACAAUGGCGCUCCAACCGACAAAAGAAGGACAUUUAUACCACAACAAAUAAUUCCCGUAAAUACGAACAACGCGCAAGGAAAAGAAAAUGGUUUCGUUUCAUCUUUCACCCCCUACCAGUUGGCUUUCUGCGAAGAGAAAAACCUAAACAGAAAAUCAAGCAUUAACCAGAAUAGCCCUCACAGAUGAGGAAACAUUACUGGCGUAUAUAUCUAUUUGGAGAUUAAUAAAAGGCAUAACAAUUAACAAGUA